This 239-nucleotide long non-coding RNA is filed under the name Gallus gallus (chicken). The record is from RNAcentral. Lineage: Eukaryota; Metazoa; Chordata; Aves; Galliformes; Phasianidae.
UGGGGAGGAGGGCAGAGCAUCCGUGCUAUCAUUCAGACAAUUCCCAAAUACAUGUUGUUGUAUAAGGGGAAGGCAGCUGAACUGUGCUGCCUGUAUUCACAUCAAGACAAGAUUAUGAUAUGGUCUUCAUAUAUUUCAAGACAUAUGAGCACUGUGCUUUUCUCCUGGGAGUGCUUAUUGACCAAAUACAGAUCAAAAGAUACUUAACAAGCAGCGUUUCUCUUUUGCAGUUCUUCUCC